AGAACGAACGCUGGCGGCAGGCCUAACACAUGCAAGUCGAACGAUAAGCCACCUUCGGGUGGUGGACAGUGGCAGACGGGUGAGUAACGCGUGGGAACGUGCCUUUCGGUUCGGGAUAACCCAGGGAAACUUGGGCUAAAUACCGGAUACGCCCUUCGGGGGAAAGAUUCAUUGCCGAAAGAUCGGCCCGCGUCGGAUUAGCUUGUUGGUGGGGUGAUGGCCUACCAAGGCGACGACGGGUAGCC
RNAcentral lists this ribosomal RNA (245 nucleotides) under uncultured bacterium. RNAcentral describes it as "partial small subunit ribosomal RNA". It matches the Rfam family "Bacterial small subunit ribosomal RNA", at positions 26 to 288 of the family's 1533-position model. The record is from RNAcentral.